Molecule: ribosomal RNA, 384 nt
Filed under: uncultured Chrysophyceae
Lineage: Eukaryota; Chrysophyceae
Description: partial small subunit ribosomal RNA
Rfam family: Eukaryotic small subunit ribosomal RNA
Source: RNAcentral
GCUUGUCUCAAAGAUUAAGCCAUGCAUGUCUUAGUGUAAAUAACUCUUAUGAAACUGCGAAUGGCUCAUUAAAUCAGUUAUCAAAUACGUGAUGGUCGCCUACUACAUGGAUAACCGUAGUAAUUCUAGAGCUAAUACAUGCACAAAGGCCCAUUCACGUGGGUUGUGAUUAUUAGAUGGAAACCAAUGCGGGGUAACCCGGAAUAUGGUGAUUCAUAAUAACUUUCGGAUCGAUUUAUCGAUGCAUCAUUCAAGUUUCUGCCCUAUCAGCUUUGGAUGGUAGGGUAUUGGCCUACCAUGGCUUUAACGGGUAACGGAGAAUUAGGGUUCGAUUCCGGAGAGGGAGCCUGAGAAAUGGCUACCACAUCCAAGGAAGGCAGCAGG